UUUUAGUUUAAUUUUUUUUUUUUAAUUCUAGUUGAAUUGUGUUGGCUUUGUUUAUCUGAAUCUGAUGAGUACAGAUUCUGAUACAAAGUCUGAGUGCAGUGGAAUACAGAACAGAGAGAGAACAAUUUAUACCGGUUACUUUCACAAUACAUGGUAUAAAGAGUUGGGUUUGUAGCAUAUGUAUAUGCUAAUAUUUUUAUAACAAAUUAAUUAAAAAGAAUAUAAAGGGUUAAAGUAUAGGGCUGAAUGAUUUAACUUCUACAUUUCCACUAUAAUGUUACACAAGUGG
This 289-nucleotide long non-coding RNA is filed under the name Medicago truncatula (barrel medic). RNAcentral describes it as "lncRNA gene29166". Lineage: Eukaryota; Viridiplantae; Streptophyta; Magnoliopsida; Fabales; Fabaceae. The record is from RNAcentral.